AGAACGAACGCUGGCGGCAGGCUUAACACAUGCAAGUCGAGCGCCUCGGCAACGGGGAGCGGCAGACGGGUGAGUAACGCGUGGGAACAUACCCUCCGGUUCGGAAUAACUCAGGGAAACUUGAGCUAAAUACCGGAUACGGCAACCAAGAGAGAUUUUGGCGGCGAAAGAUUUAUCGCCGGAGGAUUGGCCCGCGUCCGAUUAGCUAGUUGGUGUGGUAAUGGCGCACCAAGGCGACGAUCGGUAGCUGGUCUGAGAGGAUGAUCAGCCACAUUGGGACUGAGACACGGCCCAAACUCCUACGGGAGGCAGCAGUGGGGAAUAUUGGACAAUGGGCGCAAGCCUGAUCCAGCCAUGCCGCGUGAGUGAUGAAGGCCUUAGGGUUGUAAAGCUCUUUCACCCACGACGAUAAUGACGGUAGUGGGAGAAGAAGCCCCGGCUAACUCGUGCCAGCAGCCGC
This 460-nucleotide ribosomal RNA is filed under the name uncultured bacterium. RNAcentral's name for it is "SSU rRNA". It matches the Rfam family "Bacterial small subunit ribosomal RNA", at positions 26 to 518 of the family's 1533-position model. The record is from RNAcentral.